UGCACACCGCCCACACUCAACGUCCCUUCCU
Molecule: non-coding RNA, 31 nt
Filed under: Mus musculus (house mouse)
Lineage: Eukaryota; Metazoa; Chordata; Mammalia; Rodentia; Muridae
Source: RNAcentral